Molecule: transfer RNA, 73 nt
Filed under: Pseudogymnoascus destructans
Lineage: Eukaryota; Fungi; Ascomycota; Leotiomycetes; Thelebolales; Thelebolaceae
Description: partial tRNA-His
Rfam family: tRNA
About the family: Transfer RNA (tRNA) molecules are approximately 80 nucleotides in length. Their secondary structure includes four short double-helical elements and three loops (D, anti-codon, and T loops).
Source: RNAcentral
GAUGGGUUAGCUCAAAGGGUAGAGUUUUGUGUUAUGGACAUAAGGACACAAGUUCGAAUCUUGUACUCACUUU